Small nuclear RNA from Dasypus novemcinctus (nine-banded armadillo), 161 nucleotides. Its record names the gene U1. It matches the Rfam family "U1 spliceosomal RNA". Rfam says of the family: U1 is a small nuclear RNA (snRNA) component of the spliceosome (involved in pre-mRNA splicing). Its 5' end forms complementary base pairs with the 5' splice junction, thus defining the 5' donor site of an intron. The record is from Ensembl. Lineage: Eukaryota; Metazoa; Chordata; Mammalia; Cingulata; Dasypodidae.
GGACUUACCUGGAAGGGAAGACACCAUGAUCUCUAAGGGCUUUUCCCAGGGCGAGGCUCAUCCAUUGCUCUGAGGAUCUGCUGAGCCCUGAGAUUGCCCCAGGGGGAAACACUGGGUGCAAAAUUUGUGGUGGUGGAGGGUUGCUGUUGUGCUUUCCCUGA